AUCGGCACAGCAGAGCAGCACUAAGAGGGGGCACGGGGGACAAAUUACUACUCCCCCACCUUUCACCCCACUGCUAGAGCCUUUACUCAUUGCAGCCACUGCUGCAGUGAACAUGAAAUUCUAGGUCCGAAAAUGGGGCGGGGCUAAACGGCACUGCACACACAGUGCCACCAUGCCAGCCAGCAACAGCGUGGGAGAGAGGAGGGGAGAAGAGCAGCACAGCCUUAACAUGUAAAAUUCUUCAGAAAGUCAUGGUCAGAUGAUCACAUGCGACCGCGUCACCCCACUGUGUCCCUCAGUUUUUGACAAUGAGUUCGGUUCUGCAGAUGUGCAUACUAUAAUAUUUAAAUGUUUAAAUAAAAAUACUAUUGUGAAGGUUUUUAAGUGAAAAA
Molecule: long non-coding RNA, 392 nt
Organism: Pseudophryne corroboree (corroboree frog)
Lineage: Eukaryota; Metazoa; Chordata; Amphibia; Anura; Myobatrachidae
Exons: 2
Source: RefSeq, a predicted model, not a curated record